This 403-nucleotide ribosomal RNA is filed under the name bacterium. RNAcentral's name for it is "partial 16S ribosomal RNA". It matches the Rfam family "Bacterial small subunit ribosomal RNA", at positions 355 to 776 of the family's 1533-position model. The record is from RNAcentral.
UGGGGAAUAUUGCACAAUGGAGGGAACUCUGAUGCAGCGACGCCGCGUGAACGAAGAAGGCUUUCGAGUCGUAAAGUUCUUUUAUAUGGGAAGAUAAUGAUGGUACCAUAAGAAAAAGCCCCGGCUAACUACGUGCCAGCAGCCGCGGUAAUACGUAGGGGGCUAGCGUUGUCCGGAAUCACUGGGCGUAAAGGGUUCGCAGGCGGAAAUGCAAGUCAGGUGUAAAAGGCAGUAGCUUAACUACUGUAAGCAUUUGAAACUGCAUAUCUUGAGAAGAGUAGAGGUAAGUGGAAUUUUUAGUGUAGCGGUGAAAUGCGUAGAUAUUAAAAAGAAUACCGGUGGCGAAGGCGGCUUACUGGGCUCAUUCUGACGCUGAGGAACGAAAGCGUGGGUAGCAAACAGG